GACGAACGCUGGCGGCGUGCUUAACACAUGCAAGUCGAACGGAAAGGCCUGCUUUCCCUUGUGGAUUGCGGGUACUCGAGUGGCGAACGGGUGAGUAACACGUGAGUGAUCUGCCCCCAACUUGGGUAUAAGCCUGGGAAACUGGGUCUAAUUCCCGAUAGGACUGCAGGGUGGUGCCGGUGGUGGAAAACGAUUUUCUAGUGGUGGGGGUUGAGCUCGCGGCCUAUCAGCUGGUUGGUGGGGUAAUGGCCUACCAAGGCGGCGACGGGUAGCCGGCCUGAGAGGGUGGACGGCCACAUUGGGACUGAGAUACGGCCCAGACUCCUACGGGAGGCAGCAGUGGGGAAUAGUGCACAAUGGGCGGAAGCCUGAUGCAGCGACGCCGCGUGGGGGAUGACGGCCUUCGGGUUGUAAACUCCUUUCGACCGCGAGGAAGCCACCUGGUUGGAAGGGUGGUGACGGUAGUGGUAGAAGAAGCACCGGCUAACUACGUG
This 494-nucleotide ribosomal RNA is filed under the name uncultured bacterium. RNAcentral's name for it is "partial 16S ribosomal RNA". It matches the Rfam family "Bacterial small subunit ribosomal RNA", at positions 28 to 507 of the family's 1533-position model. The record is from RNAcentral.